UUUUGUAUAAUGGGUCAGCGACUUAUAUUCUGUAGCAAGGUUAACCGAAUAGGGGAGCCGAAGGGAAACCGAGUCUUAACUGGGCGUUAAGUUGCAGGGUAUAGACCCGAAACCCGGUGAUCUAGCCAUGGGCAGGUUGAAGGUUGGGUAACACUAACUGGAGGACCGAACCGACUAAUGUUGAAAAAUUAGCGGAUGACUUGUGGCUGGGGGUGAAAGGCCAAUCAAACCGGGAGAUAGCUGGUUCUCCCCGAAAGCUAUUUAGGUAGCGCCUCGUGAAUUCAUCUCCGGGGGUAGAGCACUGUUUCGGCAAGGGGGUCAUCCCGACUUACCAACCCGAUGCAAACUGCGAAUACCGGAGAAUGUUAUCACGGGAGACACACGGCGGGUGCUAACGUCCGU
This 402-nucleotide ribosomal RNA is filed under the name Escherichia coli. RNAcentral describes it as "partial 23S ribosomal RNA". It matches the Rfam family "Bacterial large subunit ribosomal RNA", at positions 606 to 1008 of the family's 2925-position model. The record is from RNAcentral. Lineage: Bacteria; Pseudomonadati; Pseudomonadota; Gammaproteobacteria; Enterobacterales; Enterobacteriaceae.